This 49-nucleotide ribosomal RNA is filed under the name Pseudogymnoascus sp. BL549. RNAcentral's name for it is "partial 28S ribosomal RNA". Lineage: Eukaryota; Fungi; Ascomycota; Leotiomycetes; Thelebolales; Thelebolaceae. The record is from RNAcentral. RNAcentral also lists the same sequence under 6 other names.
GGUUGACCUCGGAUCAGGUAGGGAUACCCGCUGAACUUAAGCAUAUCAU